RNAcentral lists this ribosomal RNA (262 nucleotides) under Escherichia coli. RNAcentral's name for it is "partial 16S ribosomal RNA". It matches the Rfam family "Bacterial small subunit ribosomal RNA", at positions 1 to 259 of the family's 1533-position model. The record is from RNAcentral. Lineage: Bacteria; Pseudomonadati; Pseudomonadota; Gammaproteobacteria; Enterobacterales; Enterobacteriaceae.
AAAUUGAAGAGUUUGAUCAUGGCUCAGAUUGAACGCUGGCGGCAGGCCUAACACAUGCAAGUCGAACGGUAACAGGAAGAAGCUUGCUUCUUUGCUGACGAGUGGCGGACGGGUGAGUAAUGUCUGGGAAACUGCCUGAUGGAGGGGGAUAACUACUGGAAACGGUAGCUAAUACCGCAUAAUGUCGCAAGACCAAAGAGGGGGACCUUCGGGCCUCUUGCCAUCGGAUGUGCCCAGAUGGGAUUAGCUAGUAGGUGGGGUA